This 843-nucleotide ribosomal RNA is filed under the name uncultured bacterium. RNAcentral's name for it is "bacterial SSU rRNA". It matches the Rfam family "Bacterial small subunit ribosomal RNA", at positions 8 to 871 of the family's 1533-position model. The record is from RNAcentral.
AGAGUUUGAUCCUGGCUCAGAACGAACGCUGGCGGCGUGGAUAAGACAUGCAAGUCGAACGAGAGAAUUGCUAGCUUGCUAAUAAUUCUCUAGUGGCGCACGGGUGAGUAACACGUGAGUAACCUGCCCCCGAGAGCGGGAUAGCCCUGGGAAACUGGGAUUAAUACCGCAUAGUAUCGAAAGAUUAAAGCAGCAAUGCGCUUGGGGAUGGGCUCGCGGCCUAUUAGUUAGUUGGUGAGGUAACGGCUCACCAAGGCGAUGACGGGUAGCCGGUCUGAGAGGAUGUCCGGCCACACUGGAACUGAGACACGGUCCAGACACCUACGGGUGGCAGCAGUCGAGAAUCAUUCACAAUGGGGGAAACCCUGAUGGUGUGACGCCGCGUGGGGGAAUGAAGGUCUUCGGAUUGUAAACCCCUGUCAUGUGGGAGCAAAUUAAAAAGAUAGUACCACAAGAGGAAGAGACGGCUAACUCUGUGCCAGCAGCCGCGGUAAUACAGAGGUCUCAAGCGUUGUUCGGAAUCACUGGGCGUAAAGCGUGCGUAGGCUGUUUCGUAAGUCGUGUGUGAAAGGCGCGGGCUCAACCCGCGGACGGCACAUGAUACUGCGAGACUAGAGUAAUGGAGGGGGAACCGGAAUUCUCGGUGUAGCAGUGAAAUGCGUAGAUAUCGAGAGGAACACUCGUGGCGAAGGCGGGUUCCUGGACAUUAACUGACACUGAGGCACGAAGGCCAGGGGAGCGAAAGGGAUUAGAUACCCCUGUAGUCCUGGCAGUAAACGGUGCACGCUUGGUGUGCGGGGAAUCGACCCCCUGCGUGCCGGAGCUAACGCGUUAAGCGUGCCG